RNAcentral lists this transfer RNA (74 nucleotides) under Rhizomucor miehei CAU432. Its description in RNAcentral is "tRNA-Ala (TGC) (tRNA-Ala-TGC-3-1)". It matches the Rfam family "tRNA". Rfam says of the family: Transfer RNA (tRNA) molecules are approximately 80 nucleotides in length. Their secondary structure includes four short double-helical elements and three loops (D, anti-codon, and T loops). Lineage: Eukaryota; Fungi; Mucoromycota; Mucoromycetes; Mucorales; Lichtheimiaceae. The record is from RNAcentral.
GGGGAUGUAGUGUAGUGGCUAUCACAUCUGCUUUGCAUGCAGAAGGCCCCCGGGUUCGAUCCCCGGCGUCUCCA